ACUGGGCGUAAAGCGUCCGCAGGCGGAUGUGUGCGUCUGCUGUUAAAUCCUACGGCUCAACCGUAUGGGCAGCAGUGGAUACGACACAUCUAGAGGCAGGGAGAGGUAGACGGAACUCCUGGUGAAGCAGUGAAAUGCGUUGAUAUCAGGGGGAACACCAAUUGCGAAGGCAGUCUACUGGUCCUGUCCUGACGCUCAGGGACGACAGCGUGGGGAGCGAAGCGGAUUAGAUACCCGCGUAGUCCACGCCGUAAACGUUGCCAACUAGGCAUUGGAGGUAUCGACCCCUUCAGUGUCGAAGCUAACGCGUUAAGUUGGCCGCCUGGGUAGUACGGCCGCAAGGCUAAAACUCAAAGGAAUAGACGGGGGCCCGCACAAGUGGUGGAGCGUGUGGUUUAAUUCGAUGCUAAGCGAGGAACCUCACCAGGUCUUGAAAUCUAGCUGCACAUCCUGUGAAAGCAGGACUCUUUCGAAGGUGCUAGACAGGUGCUGCACGGUUGCCGUCAGCUCGUGUUGUGAAAUGUUCCCUUA
Molecule: ribosomal RNA, 531 nt
Filed under: uncultured bacterium
Lineage: Bacteria
Description: bacterial SSU rRNA
Rfam family: Bacterial small subunit ribosomal RNA
Source: RNAcentral